Molecule: non-coding RNA, 71 nt
Organism: Danionella cerebrum
Lineage: Eukaryota; Metazoa; Chordata; Actinopteri; Cypriniformes; Danionidae
Source: the annotation of a GenBank genome assembly
UGUAGGAUAGUAUAGUGGUGACACUGCCGCCCUUUACACGGAAGACCAGGGUUCAAAUCCCGGUCAGAGAG